UUUCCGUAGGUGAACCAGCGGAGGGAUCAUUACAGUAUAGCAAAACUGCCAAGACUAUCGCUAACGCGAACUAAACUGCAGGCUCGACGGCCGUCACCCGGGUUUAUCCCACCGCCAUGUCCACCACCGCGCGCGGCCCCCUGUGGCUUGUUCGGAAACGGGCGCUCGUUUUCACACAAUCUUUGUAUGCUGUGUUGAAUGUAUUUAAUGUUUUUGCGAUGACGCACUCGAUACAACCUUCAACAACGGAUCUCUUGGAUCUGACAUGGAUGAGGAACG
RNAcentral lists this unclassified non-coding RNA (279 nucleotides) under plant metagenome. RNAcentral describes it as "partial contains small subunit ribosomal RNA, internal transcribed spacer 1, and 5.8S ribosomal RNA". The record is from RNAcentral.